Molecule: RNA transcript, 8462 nt
Organism: Carassius gibelio (silver crucian carp)
Lineage: Eukaryota; Metazoa; Chordata; Actinopteri; Cypriniformes; Cyprinidae
Exons: 2
Source: RefSeq, a predicted model, not a curated record
CCCAGUGUAAUAAUUUACGAAGUGUUUUUUUUUUAUAUAUAUAUAUACAUAUGUGCAUUUCAUAAAUGUAUAUGGUUUUGGAUAAGUUUCAUGUUAAUUAAGUUGAUAUUAUUUUUAUUUUUGUAUUUUUAUAUUUCUUCUGUUUAUCCAAUCAUAUUCACUUGUCCACGUUGGGUGUCCAAUCUAUGCUCUAGAUUAAGGUGAAGGGGGCGGGAAUAAUUGAGGGCAAAGUUGAACGAGGAAGAAUUGGGAGAGCACGAGGGAGAAGAGCGUGCGAUCAUCUGGUGUUAUAUUGUUUCACAAAAUAUAUAGUGUAACUAAUGCUAUAAUGUGUUACAAUAGUUGAUGUAGUUAAGGUGUUGUCGGAAUGAGAACAGAAACUGAUACUACAGAGACGGGUAAGAAUUAUUUAUCCUCAAAAUAUUUCUGGUUGUGUUAAUUCCAGCCUCCAUUUACUAAUGCAGCGAAUGGACUAAUUAUAGAGACUGAACAGUGUCUAUCUUGCUCGGAUGGAUUGUGUGUUUAGUUGGCGAGUCGUCAGCAUGAGGAUUCGUGGCAGUUUCAGAUGAGGAUGAUUACAGAUGACUUGUGAGCUAACGUGAGUGCUCGGAAUUCCUUUGGCCUUAAGGAAAUCGCCGCGAUAGUGGAGUUGACGGACAUCUAACCUCGUGAGGUGAAACACGCUCUUCUGAUUGGAUGGUUCAAGGUAUUUUUAUUUUUUUUGUUUGUUGCUCAGUGUUGAGUGAAGCGGUCGUUUGUUUAUUUGUUGACCACAACGUACCCCAGCAUCAAACAGGCCUGCAACGUGAAAAUAACGAACUUUCAUAUUGAUUGAGGUUAAGUGUGAGCUCAUAUUGCCGGCUUAGUAUUUGUUUGAAGAGUUUAUUAAGUUUGAGUAAGAGUUUGAUGACUCAAAUUUGAAGUAUAACAACAGAGGGGAACAAAUAUCCAUUUACAAAAAGAGUAAAUGUGAAAUGUGUACUUGAUUUUAUUGUUUUAUUCAUUUGUGUGAAUUUGUGAAAUUCAUAUUGCUUAUUUAAAUAAUUUUAUUUUACAUUUGGAAAAAAUCCUGAAACGUGAUCAUUUUACCUUUUAUCCAGUAAAUUGUUAUUUACAGUCUACUUGAGUGUUUUCCGUUUAUUAUUAUUUGAGUUAAAAAGAAAAUAUAAAUAUACAUUGAUAUUUCUUUGAUUGUUAAAACAAUUGAUUUAUUUACAGAAGUUAAAUUCUUAUUCAUUAUUAUUUGAAUUUAUUUUAAAGAUUAAGGGACCCAAGGAACUAAGUAACAAACACAGUUACAUAGAACAAGUUGAAGUGAGUAAAUAAGAACACUUAGCUCACAAUAUUUGAUAAACCAAAGUUUAUUCAUACGAACUCAGAGCGCACCAUUAUCUAUCUAUAUAGGAAAGGGAAAAAAGCGCUACAUAAAUUGGAGGCACCGCUGGGAUCCUUGCGUGUCCCAUUACAGUUGUGUUGUAAAAGAAGAAACAAAAGUCUCCGUCUUCAUCUAAUUAGCACAGUGUGACCAUGACUGCUUACUCUAUAUAUCCUGGUCUGGUGGAUGAGCUUAAAGGAUGGUGUCGAGGAGAAAUGCUUAAUGAGGCACAUGCGCUGAUGGUCAUUGUCCCUGAAGAUGUAGAAAUUUCUCAAAUAGAAGACACCCUCCAAUCUGUUAAAUGUCUGGGACGAGUGCGUGUGAGAGGACGCAUGUACAACAGUAAACUGGAUAGUUUGACUGUUUUAUGUGAAUGCAAAGAAGUUGUAGACUUUUCUAAAGUCCCUCCUGACAUACUACCCACAGGCGGAUUUGUAGCCUGGCCGAUUGUCAUGGUGACACAAAGUCCAGUAUCCCCAAGUGCUCCCUCUAGGGCAGAGCAUUCAUCUACCGCUGUGGAUGAUGGCAACAUUCAGGAAUUGUUGGGUGCACAUGAUGGCUCGGCUGAGUCCAUUAUUCGUGCCGUGGGGGAUCUGCUGUCUAAAAUAGAAAAACCAGUUAGUGAUAGCAGCAGUUAUCGCCGCCUCCGUGUUUUUUCUGGGACUGUGCCAACUCCUGCCGGAGAAGAGCCUUUAGAACAUUGGCUAGAACAAGCUCGUCUUAUGGUUGAGGAAAGCGAUUGCUCAGACAAAGAAAAAAGACGUCGGAUUAUGGAGAGUUUACGAGGGCCAGCCUUGUCAAUAAUAAAAGCUGCUCGUGUAACUACUGCUGAUCUCAAGCCAGAACAAUGUUUAGAGGCCAUUGAAAGUGCCUUUGGUUCUGCUGAAUCAGGGGAAGAGCUGUAUAUUGCUUUUCGGUUGAUGCAGCAACAGCCAAGGGAAAAACUGUCCGAUUUUUUAAAAAGAUUAGAACAAGCAUUGACCAAAGUCAUACAGCGAGGUGGUCUGUCGGUUGCAGCUGCAAACCGUGUAAGAGUGGAACAGUUACUUCGUGGAGCAGUGGCUGCUGAUCUUAUGUUAGUUAAUCUUAAACUGAGGGAAAGGAAGGAAAAUCCUCCAUCCUUUUUGGAGUUGUUGAGUGAGAUUCGCAGUGAGGAAGAAUAUGAGGCAUCAAGGGCUAAGCUAAACUCCACUGUGCAUAAGAUCCAGGCUAAAGCAGAGGUAGACAAUAAGCAGACAGAAAUCCAGACUUUAAAAACUGAGUUAAAGGAACUGAAAGCCAUGUUUGCUUCUAUGGCAGCCACCCAGCAUGGAACUGUGAAAGAAGAGACAUCUGCUGGUUCAAGUAUGAAAACUACAACCUUUGAAAGUUGUCCAGACCCUGAAGUGACUGCGCUGAAAAAACAGGUCAAAAGAUUGCAGCAGAAAGUUCAAAGUAAAAAGCCUAUUGCCUCUGUGGCCUCCUUGCCUGUGGAGACUUCUAGAAAUUUCCCUGGUACAUAUAAGCCAACAACGUACAGUGAUUCGGAGGAAUAUUACUGCUACCGCUGUGGAGAAAGUGGACACUUCGCCGCAAAAUGCAGAAAUGCUGAAAACCAAGCAAAAGUUGUUCGAAGAUUAAUCCAGUCACUGAAAAAAGCCAAAAGUAGAGACUUGCUUUCAUCUGAGCCAACAUCCAGUACAACCAACUGUUCAGUAAAAAGGAGUGCUGUAGACAUACAAAAGCAAAGGCACCUUCCAGAAGGCUUGGUUGGUCCAAUGUCUGUUGUUCAGCUAAAGGUGAACGGACAUGAAUGUGAUUCCUUAUUAGACAGUGGUUCACAAGUAACCAUCAUCUUCGAAGCGUGGUACAAGCAGCAUCUGUCUGAUGUUCCAAUUCACCCAGUCACAGGUUUGGCAAUUUGGGGUUUAAGUGAGUCCAGCUACCCUUACUUGGGUUAUGUGAUGGUAGAUGUUGAGUUCCCUGCCAAAAUCACAGGAACUCAUGAAACCCUUUCAGUCUUGGCCUUAAUCUGCCCGGGACCAUGUAGUCCAGAUCAAACACCAGUUAUUUUGGGUACCAACGCUAACCUUUUCAAGCGUUUGGCUCGUUUGUGUAGAGAAAGUGCUGGAGUGGACAUUGCACAGACAUUGGGCAUAAAUGUGGAUUCAGUUUCCGAAGAAUUGUCAUGUGACCCUGCUAGGAUCUCUGGUGAAGACGAAGGAGUGGGCAGUGUAAGGUGGCUUGGUCCCGGCCCUUUGUCCUUGUCCCCUGGAGGGGAUUGUGUGGCAAUCUGUAAUGUAGAGUUAAAUGAACCAUUAGGAGAAGAGGUUCUGUUGGUAGAGGCUUCUCCAGAUGCCACUCUGCCAGUUGGAGUGUUACUGCAGCCCAUGGUAGUGCCACAUUCUGAAAUGGAUGUUCACCAUUUUCCAGUACUGAUGCACAAUGAAUCCCUGAAGGACACAGUGAUUCCAGUAGGAACAGUGGUUGGUCACUUGUAUUCUGCAGAACCAGUAAUAUCCACCCCAAAGACAGGAGAGUUUGAUACAAACCUCAUUAACUUUGGAGAUUCCCCAAUUCCUGAGACAUGGAAGCAGAGGUUAAGGCAGGCAUUGUCGGAAAGAGCUUCUGUGUUUUCACUACACGAGUGGGACGUGGGUUUGGCGAAAGGAGUGGAACACCAUAUUCGGCUAUCCGAUUCUAGGCCUUUUCGUGAGCGCUCUAGGCGUUUGGCUCCUGCGGAUAUUGAUGAUGUUCGGAAACACAUUCAAGAGCUUAUGAAAUCUGGCAUCAUCAAGGAAUCACGAAGUCCCUACGCCUCCCCUAUUGUUAUCGCCCGAAAGAAAAAUGGAAGUGUAAGAAUGUGCAUCGACUAUCGCACACUUAAUGCUCGUACAGUGCCUGACCAGUAUACUACUCCUCGCAUUGACGAUGCAUUAGACUGUUUAUCAGGGAGUAGAUGGUUUUCCGUCCUUGACCUCAGAAGUGGUUAUUACCAAAUAGCCAUGUCUGAAGAGGAUAAGGAAAAAACUGCUUUUAUAUGCCCCUUAGGAUUCUAUCAAUUCGAGCGUAUGCCACAGGGCAUUACUGGUGCACCCGCGACUUUCCAACGCUUGAUGGAAAAAGCUGUGGGGGAUAUGAAUCUGAUUCAAGUCCUUGUAUACCUGGAUGACCUGAUUGUCUUUGGGAAGUCAUUGGAAGAGCAUGAAGAAAGACUUCUGAAGGUCUUGGACAGACUAGCACAAGUGGGACUAAAAGUGUCAUUGGACAAAUGCCAAUUCUGCCAGACCAAGGUCAAAUAUGUUGGACAUAUAGUCUCUGCCGAAGGCGUUGCAACAGACCCUGAUAAGGUCAAGGCAGUCAGCACAUGGCCGCAACCAACAGACCUUAAGUCCUUGAGAUCUUUUCUUGGCUUCUGCGGAUAUUACCGUAGGUUCAUAGCCAACUACGCUGCGAUUGUCCGACCUCUUACUGAGCUUACGAAAGGUUAUGCCCCUACCCAGCGAGGUAAAAAGUGGGAAAAAGAUCGAUCUAAGGUUUACUUGAAAGAGUCGGAGCCUUUCGGAGACAGAUGGAACCAGUCAUGCUCUGAUGCCUUUGAGCAGAUAAUUCAGUGUCUUACUAAUGCUCCAGUCCUAGCUUUUGCAGACCCCUGCAAACCCUACAUUUUGCAUGUAGAUGCCAGUCUAAAAGGGCUAGGUGCUGUAUUAUAUCAGGAGCAUUCAUCUGGUCUGCAGCCUGUGGCAUUUGCUAGUAGAAAACUGAGUAAUUCAGAGCAGAAAUAUCCUAUACACCAGUUGGAAUUUCUUGCUUUGAAAUGGGCGGUCGUGGAUAAAUUCCACGAUUACCUAUAUGGAGCUAGAUUCACAGUACGUACGGAUAAUAAUCCACUUACGUACGUUCUUACGACAGCUAAACUCAGUGCCACUGGACAUCGUUGGCUGGCUGCACUAUCCACCUACGACUUUGAUGUGUUGUACAGACCAGGCAAGAACAAUACUGAUGCAGAUUUACUGUCCCGUAAUAUGGCAGAUGAGGAAAUAAGAGAGGGUUGGCAAAGCAUCUCUGAGACCGAUGUAAGGGCCAUAUGCCAGGAAGUUCAUGUUGACUUAAAGCUCAGCAAAUCACCUAGGUAUGUAGAGCAACUAGCAGCCUCACCUGAGUGUAUUCCUGAUGUGUAUGCUUUCCCUGUUCAACUGGAAUGUGACUUCUUGGAGCAGAAAUCCAUAGCUGAUUUGACAAGAGCCCAGAAGAAUGAUGUUGUCCUGAGGAAAGUAAUUGAAGCUUUAAAGCAAGGGACGUGGCCUACUGAGGUAAAGGUGAAUUCUGAGUUGUGGCUUAUGAAACGUGAGAAGAAUAGGCUUCUAAUUAAAGAAGGUUUGCUUUUCCGCUGCAGUCAAACACCCUCUGGAGAAGAAGUUUCCCAACUUGUCCUACCUACUGAAUUCAGGGAGGAUGUGUGCAGGUUGUUGCAUGAUGACAUGGGUCAUCUGGGUGUAGAAAGAACCACAGAUCUCAUCAGGAGUAGAUUCUACUGGCCCAAAAUGGCCUGCGAGGUGGAACAAUACAUAAAGAAUUGUGGGGAGUGUAUUACUCGCAAGACACCAUGUAGUAAAGCAGCUCCUUUGCACCAAAUUACCAGCAAUGGACCGAUGGAUCUGGUCUGCAUUGAUUUCCUCUCACUUGAGCCCGACUCAAAAGGAAUAAGUAACAUCUUGGUAGUCACAGAUCAUUUUACACGGUACGCCCAGGCGUUUCCCUCAAGGAAUCAGACAGCUCGCACUGUAGCCAAGAUCUUAGUGGACAAGUAUUUUGUGCAUUAUGGCUUACCUGGGAGGAUCCAUUCCGACCAAGGGCGAGACUUUGAGAGUAAUUUAAUCAAAGAGCUCUUGCUUCUGUUGGGGAUUCGAAAAUCACGUACCACUCCGUACCACCCUCAAGGUGAUGCUCAGCCUGAGAGGUUUAAUCGUACCUUGCUCUCGAUGUUGGGAACCUUGGGACAUGAGAAAAAACGUCAGUGGAGUCAGCAUGUGGGGUAUCUGGUUCAUGCCUAUAAUAGCACGAAAUGUGAUGCUACAGGGUACUCUCCCUACUAUUUAAUGUUUGGAAGGGAAGCAAGACUCCCUGUUGAUCUUUGUUUCCAAACAUCUGCUGAAGGAACAGAGGAAAGACAACAUUUUCAGUAUGUCGCCAAGCUGAAAAAAGAUUUAAAAGAAGCUUAUCAACUAGCCUCAGAAGCUUCAAACAAAGUGCAUCAACGAAACAAAAGAGCCUAUGACAGCAGCAUUAAAUUCCAGGUCUUGGAUGUUGGUGAUAGAGUGUUGUUGAAGAAUCUGGGACUGAGAGGAAAACACAAGCUUCAGAGUCGAUGGAGUUCUUUGCCAUAUCUGGUAGUUGACAAAAUGCCUAACUUACCAGUGUAUAAGGUGAAACCUGAACGUGGUGGAGGAGUCAAAACUAUACAUCGAGAUCACCUCUUACCGAUUGGACAGUCUGUGAGAAUGCUGGAGAGUCCAGGUUAUGCAUUACCUGAAAAGACAAGAAAACAUUCAAACUCAAACCAAACACACAAAAAAGUGCAAAAAGAAACCCAAAAUCACUUAUUUGAGAUGACAGAAUCCUCAGAGUCAGAAUGUGAAAGGGUUAAUGUGCCUUACCAGAAAUAUGUGCACAAGUUGCUGAAAAAUAAGAGGACCAGGGACAGAUCUCCUGAUAGCGAUGGAAAUGAGCAAGAAGCUGAUGAUACUGGUCAUGAGGAAAGUGAUCAGGCUGAGGAAGAGUGGACUGAAAAUGAUAAUGUUGCUGAAUCUGAGUCAGACUCAGAAGUUGAAUCAGACACUGUGACUGUUUCUGAAAGGAAGUGUACAAAACCAAAAGCGGUUAUGCCUCCUAGUCAGAGAGCCCAUAGUAAGAGACCUGUGAAGCCUGUUAUAAGACUCACUUAUGACGAACCAGGAAGAAGUAGUGACCACCCAAUUGAAAUUGUCCAUAGAGGGGUCAUUAUAAGACUAGGUCAGAGUUAAAAUAACUAAAUGAACAACCAGGUAUAGACUGUAAAAUUUUGAUUUAAAUGUCUGAUGAGGACAUUCAGACAAUUGGAAAGGGGAGGGUGUAACCCAGUGUAAUAAUUUACGAAGUGUUUUUUUUUUUUAUAUAUAUAUACAUAUGUGCAUUUCAUAAAUGUAUAUGGUUUUGGAUAAGUUUCAUGUUAAUUAAGUUGAUAUUAUUUUUAUUUUUGUAUUUUUAUAUUUCUUCUGUUUAUCCAAUCAUAUUCACUUGUCCACGUUGGGUGUCCAAUCUAUGCUCUAGAUUAAGGUGAAGGGGGCGGGAAUAAUUGAGGGCAAAGUUGAACGAGGAAGAAUUGGGAGAGCACGAGGGAGAAGAGCGUGCGAUCAUCUGGUGUUAUAUUGUUUCACAAAAUAUAUAGUGUAACUAAUGCUAUAAUGUGUUACAAUAGUUGAUGUAGUUAAGGUGUUGUCGGAAUGAGAACAGAAACUGAUACUACAGAGACGGUUGGCGAGUCGUCAGCAUGAGGAUUCGUGGCAGUUUCAGAUGAGGAUGAUUACAGAUGACUUGUGAGCUAACGUGAGUGCUCGGAAUUCCUUUGGCCUUAAGGAAAUCGCCGCGAUAGUGGAGUUGACGGACAUCUAACCUCGUGAGGUGAAACACGCUCUUCUGAUUGGAUGGUUCAAGGUAUUUUUAUUUUUUUUGUUUGUUGCUCAGUGUUGAGUGAAGCGGUCGUUUGUUUAUUUGUUGACCACAACGUACCCCAGCAUCAAACAGGCCUGCAACGUGAAAAUAACGAACUUUCAUAUUGAUUGAGGUUAAGUGUGAGCUCAUAUUGCCGGCUUAGUAUUUGUUUGAAGAGUUUAUUAAGUUUGAGUAAGAGUUUGAUGACUCAAAUUUGAAGUAUAACAACAGAGGGGAACAAAUAUCCAUUUACAAAAAGAGUAAAUGUGAAAUGUGUACUUGAUUUUAUUGUUUUAUUCAUUUGUGUGAAUUUGUGAAAUUCAUAUUGCUUAUUUAAAUAAUUUUAUUUUACAUUUGGAAAAAAUCCUGAAACGUGAUCAUUUUACCUUUUAUCCAGUAAAUUGUUAUUUACAGUCUA